AUGGAUGAGGUCACAAGGGAUAUACAAGGAGAUAUCCCAUGGUGUAUGCUCUUUGCGGAUGAUGUGGUGCUAGUUGACGAUAGUCGGACAGGGGUAAAUAGGAAGUUAGAGUUAUGGAGACAAACCUUGGAAUCGAAAGGGUUUAGGCUUAGUAGAACUCAAACUGAGUACAUGAUGUGCGGUUUCAGUACUACUAGGUGUGAGGAGGAGGAGGUUAGCCUUGAUGGCCAGGUGGUUCCCCAGAAGGACACCUUUCGUUAUUUGGGGUCAAUGCUGCAGGGGGAUGGGGGUAUUGAUGAAGAUGUGAACCAUCGAAUCAAAGCCGGAUGGAUGAAGUGGUGCCAAGCUUCUGGCAUUCUCUGUGACAAUAGAGUGCCACAAAAGCUAAAAGGCAAGUUCUACAGGACGGCGGUUCGACCCGCAAUGUUGUAUGGUGCUGAGUGUUGGCCGACUAAAAGGUGA
Molecule: ribosomal RNA, 462 nt
Filed under: Triticum aestivum (bread wheat)
Lineage: Eukaryota; Viridiplantae; Streptophyta; Magnoliopsida; Poales; Poaceae
Description: partial small subunit ribosomal RNA
Source: RNAcentral